This 652-nucleotide ribosomal RNA is filed under the name uncultured Actinomycetes bacterium. Its description in RNAcentral is "bacterial SSU rRNA". It matches the Rfam family "Bacterial small subunit ribosomal RNA", at positions 232 to 885 of the family's 1533-position model. Lineage: Bacteria; Bacillati; Actinomycetota; Actinomycetes. The record is from RNAcentral.
CGCGGCCUAUCAGCUUGUUGGUGAGGUAAUGGCUCACCAAGGCUUCGACGGGUAGCCGGCCUGAGAGGGUGACCGGCCACACUGGGACUGAGACACGGCCCAGACUCCUACGGGAGGCAGCAGUGGGGAAUAUUGGACAAUGGGCGAAAGCCUGAUCCAGCAACGCCGCGUGAGGGAUGACGGCCUUCGGGUUGUAAACCUCUUUCAGUACCGACGAAGCGCCAAUAACGGUGGUGACGGUAGGUACAGAAGAAGGACCGGCCAACUACGUGCCAGCAGCCGCGGUAAUACGUAGGGUCCGAGCGUUGUCCGGAAUUAUUGGGCGUAAAGGGCUCGUAGGCGGUCUGUCGCGUCGGGAGUGAAAACUUACAGCUUAACUGUGAGCGUGCUUCCGAUACGGGCAGACUUGAGGUAUUCAGGGGAGAACGGAAUUCCUGGUGUAGCGGUGAAAUGCGCAGAUAUCAGGAGGAACACCGGUGGCGAAGGCGGUUCUCUGGGAAUAUCCUGACGCCGAGGAGCGAAAGUGUGGGGAGCGAACAGGAUUAGAUACCCUGGUAGUCCACACCGUAAACGUUGGGCGCUAGGUGUGGGGUCCAUUCCACGGAUUCCGUGCCGCAGCUAACGCAUUAAGCGCCCCGCCUGGGGAGUACGG